CCUACGGGUGGCAGCAGUGGGGAAUAUUGGACAAUGGGCGAAAGCCUGAUCCAGCCAUGCCGCGUGUGUGAAGAAGGCCUUCGGGUUGUAAAGCACUUUCAGUGGGGAAGAAAGCCUUGGGGCUAAUACCCUCGAGGAAGGACAUCACCCACAGAAGAAGCACCGGCUAACUCCGUGCCAGCAGCCGCGGUAAUACGGAGGGUGCGAGCGUUAAUCGGAAUUACUGGGCGUAAAGCGCGCGUAGGCGGUCUGAUAAGCCGGGUGUGAAAGCCCCGGGCUCAACCUGGGAACGGCAUCCGGAAAUGGAAGGCUAGAGUGUCGGAGAGGAAGGUAGAAUUCCACGUGGAGGGGUGAAAUGCGUAGAGAUAGGGAGGAAUACCGGUGGCGAAGGCCGCCCUCCGGAACAACACUGACGCUGAGGGGCGAAAGCGUGGGGAGCAAACAGGAUUAGAUACCCUGGUAGUC
RNAcentral lists this ribosomal RNA (465 nucleotides) under Vreelandella stevensii. Its description in RNAcentral is "partial 16S ribosomal RNA". It matches the Rfam family "Bacterial small subunit ribosomal RNA", at positions 338 to 795 of the family's 1533-position model. The record is from RNAcentral. Lineage: Bacteria; Pseudomonadati; Pseudomonadota; Gammaproteobacteria; Oceanospirillales; Halomonadaceae.